CUACGUCCCUGCCCUUUGUACA
This 22-nucleotide non-coding RNA is filed under the name Arabidopsis thaliana (thale cress). The record is from RNAcentral. Lineage: Eukaryota; Viridiplantae; Streptophyta; Magnoliopsida; Brassicales; Brassicaceae.